This is a long non-coding RNA of Coffea arabica (coffee), 601 nucleotides long. RefSeq lists it as uncharacterized. Lineage: Eukaryota; Viridiplantae; Streptophyta; Magnoliopsida; Gentianales; Rubiaceae. The record is from RefSeq and is a predicted model, not a curated record.
GGUUUCCCAAUUUGUCCUUCUAGAUUUCCAACUCCCUCUUGCCCUCUAAGUGUAUCAGAGCUGGCGAAGAAGGUGGUUUGUGGAAUCAAAACAAGUUUCGGUGUAGCCCAAACAAAGCUAAGCCACGUUGAUUUCGAUGAAGAAGUUAGGAGGAUUUUAGCCACCUUUCCUGUCGAAUACAAUAACGACAGGAUCUAUCUCCCCUCAGAUGAAGCCGCCCCAAAUGCAGAGACGUUGAGGCAAGUCGAGAAGCUUAGGUUGGAAAUCGAUGCACUUAAACGGGAGAGAGACUCAAUUCAGGCUGAGCAAGGACAAAUCCCAGAGCAAUAAAAGGGAGCAAAACAGGUAAAAUGAUGAGUAACCUCGCUUGCUUCUGGAUCUGGCACGGAGUUCACUGCUUCAUAAAAGCUUCUUUUAGAUUUUUUUUCCUUCCUAUGAUGACUACAAUUUUUCUACUCCCUGCUUUCUGAAAUACACAGGCUUUGUUCCCUAUGAUAGACUGAGAGAAUGAUGCCAGAAAUGAUCAUUUAAAAGGCCUUGGGUCAUAAAUGUUGAAUGGUAUCUACUUGUGACUUAUGUGGCUUAGCUGAAGAAAGCUAUU